Molecule: ribosomal RNA, 250 nt
Filed under: uncultured bacterium
Lineage: Bacteria
Description: partial 16S ribosomal RNA
Rfam family: Bacterial small subunit ribosomal RNA
Source: RNAcentral
UAGGGAAUAUUGCGCAAUGGACGCAAGUCUGACGCAGCAACGCCGCGUGGGUGAUGAAGCUUUUUGGAGUGUAAAACCCUGUCAGUGGGGAAGAAAAGCACGGGUAGUAACUGCCCCGUGCCUGACGGUACCCACAGAGGAAGUCCCGGCUAACUCCGUGCCAGCAGCCGCGGUAAUACGGGGGGGACUAGCGUUGUUCGGAUUUACUGGGCGUAAAGGGCGCGUAGGCGGACCUUCAAGUCGGGUGUGA